Molecule: long non-coding RNA, 810 nt
Filed under: Homo sapiens (human)
Lineage: Eukaryota; Metazoa; Chordata; Mammalia; Primates; Hominidae
Description: PPP3CA divergent transcript (PPP3CA-DT)
Source: RNAcentral
UUUUCUUCCAGCUGCCGGACCAGCGGGCCUGCCGCCUCUACGGACCAGUCCCUGCUCAGGUGUCACUUUUGCUGGCAGGCCGAGAUUAGGGCAGGAGAGUGGGCAAGGCGUCGCGGCCAGGAGGAGAAGGGCUCUACCACGCCACCCUCCUUUGGCCUCCGAACGCGGACCCCGCACACACACACCCGCGCCUCUUUGGCAAGCGUGCCUUGUCGGCUGGGUUAAGCCGCAGUGCGUGCACACCGAGCGGCGGGGCGCUGUGGAACGCGGGAGCGGACUAGCGGAGGAGGAUGCGGACCAAGCCCCAGCGACCCAGGGCAACUCGGAGCUACCUCGGGCAGCCCUGCGGGUCUCCGAGGAGAACCGAGGAGACGGGAGAAACAUGGGAGAGGGUGGCCUUUUCCCUGUUCACACACACAUGCACGCAGCCACUGGCCGGGACAGUUGACACCCAUCUUCCUUCCCUGCUCCUUCCAGUCAUUCUACACCCGCUUGGUGCUGCCAGUGCGGGCAGGGCCUUGGAGCCCAAAGCGGAUCCCCACACUUGUCCCUACGGUCGGAAGGAAAGUAGAGGAGAGAAAGUCAGGCGCGGCAGGGCUAAGAGCAAUAGUGGCCCAAAUGUUCCUGGCCCGCCUGCUGCGCCACAGAGUCUGAAAAGCGGGUCUCCGUCUACCAGAAGGUGACCUCCACACAGCCCCUCUCCCCGACCAACUGCAGCACCCAAGGACUGGCAACGUGGUUGGAGCUUUUGGGGGGAAUUAUGAAGAAAUCUGAAUAAAUUUCUCACCCUUCAAAAAAAAAAAAAAAAAA